Molecule: ribosomal RNA, 449 nt
Filed under: Chrysomya bezziana (Old World screwworm)
Lineage: Eukaryota; Metazoa; Arthropoda; Insecta; Diptera; Calliphoridae
Description: partial large subunit ribosomal RNA
Source: RNAcentral
CUUUUUGAAUUUUUUUAAAAGUCUAGCCUGCCCACUGAAUAAUUUUUUUAAAUGGCCGCAGUAUACUAACUGUGCAAAGGUAGCAUAAUCAUUAGUCUUUUAAUUGAAGGCUGGUAUGAAUGGUUGGACGAGAUAUUAACUGUUUCAUUAAAAUUUAUAAUAGAAUUUUAUUUUUUAGUCAAAAAGCUAAAAUGUAUUUAAAAGACGAGAAGACCCUAUAAAUCCUUAUAUUUAGAUUAUUAUAAUUUUGUAGAUUUUUUUUGUUAUAAUUAUUAAUAAUAUUUUAUUGGGGUGAUAUUAAAAUUUAAUAAACUUUUAAUUGUUAAAAUCAUUAAUUUAUGAAUAAUUGAUCCGUUAUUAGCGAUUAAAAAAAUAAGUUACUUUAGGGAUAACAGCGUAAUUUUUUUGGAGAGUUCAAUCGAUAAAAAAGAUUGCGACCUCGAUGUUGG